This 449-nucleotide ribosomal RNA is filed under the name uncultured bacterium. Its description in RNAcentral is "partial 16S ribosomal RNA". It matches the Rfam family "Bacterial small subunit ribosomal RNA", at positions 358 to 798 of the family's 1533-position model. The record is from RNAcentral.
GGAAUCUUCCACAAUGGACGCAAGUCUGAUGGAGCAACGCCGCGUGAGUGAAGAAGGUUUUCGGAUCGUAAAGCUCUGUUGUUGGUGAAGAAGGAUAGAGGCAGUAACUGGCCUUUAUUUGACGGUAAUCAACCAGAAAGUCACGGCUAACUACGUGCCAGCAGCCGCGGUAAUACGUAGGUGGCAAGCGUUGUCCGGAUUUAUUGGGCGUAAAGCGAGCGCAGGCGGAAGAAUAAGUCUGAUGUGAAAGCCCUCGGCUUAACCGAGGAACUGCAUCGGAAACUGUUUUUCUUGAGUGCAGAAGAGGAGAGUGGAACUCCAUGUGUAGCGGUGGAAUGCGUAGAUAUAUGGAAGAACACCAGUGGCGAAGGCGACUCUCUGGUCUGCAACUGACGCUGAGGCUCGAAAGCAUGGGUAGCGAACAGGAUUAGAUACCCUUGGUAGUCCAU